UGAAUUAAUAAUUACUGUCACAUUGUUCUGUGUUUCAGUUUAUUCUGCCGUCAGUUGGUGCCAACCAUUGAAUUGAUCCUCUUUGCCAAAGCAAGAAGUGCCCGCCUACCGAAGAAUGUCGGGUUGCCAAGUGGUGCUUUAUGUCACGAGUUGUGCCACUAACCUGCUGGCUAAAACCUGUGUGCGUUGAAAGGAACACUCUUAGGCAUCACGGGUGUCCUAUAGGGAGGCCACUUCUACGAAAAAGAAACCAAAUGUGGGAAAUCGCCUCCUGUUCACCGGGUAUCCCGUGUCCAAAGAACUUUUACUGCAAACAAGAACGAGAGAACCUGUGUUGUCGCUGUGAUACAGACAGACCCUAGGAGGUUUAGAAUCUGUGAACACGGGCUGGACUGACACCGACUGUCCCCACAUCUUCAGUGUUGUGAUGUGGGCUGCGCUAAGAAUUGUAACUUUAGAAAUGAUUGAGGGGCAUCCUCACAACCUCUAAAAAUCUGAUCAUCACAAAUUUCAAAUUAUCUAUUUACUGAUAAGAUUAUUAAUAUAAGAAAGUUUAUUAUAAAAUAUGUGUAAGAGUGCCCCUCACACUUUAAUAUUUUAAGUUAUAUGUAUUAAAGAAAAUCCCGCGACCAACGGAAAAAAAUCCUUUUACCUUUUUCACUUCAAAUAAAAGUUUUGAUUUUUUUUAAAAACUGAUUUUGUCUUCAACGUUUUAGUCUCUUUUCGGCCUGUAUGUUCUCAUACGAAGCAUUUCACACAGGAACUAUCACACAGCAGGAUCAGUUCAUAACGACAAAAUUAUUAAGUGGACAAAUAAAAUAAAAGGUUAAAUUCAUAUGACAUUUGUUACGAAAAGAUAACACUGGACAGUAAUCCUUCUUCAAAGAGGUAAAUUAUAUUUCAUGUGAAAUAAAUUAAUAGAAGGUUGUGCAGUUUUACUUUUGACACUCAUUCUACAAAUUCAGAUUCUCUCAUUGCUAUUUUCUUAAAACAGCUGAUGUUGAUAAAAUGAUGUCAAACUUGUUGAUUCAGUUUACACCUUGACUAUUCUCUACUAGUGAAAUUACGAAAAUUAUGAAAUAUUUCAAGAUUGAUAAAGCCAUUACAAAAAAAACUUACAUCAAAAACUUACUUAAAACUUACAUCACAGGUAUUCUAGAUAGAUAUUUUGCUUUUUAUGAAAUCUUCAGCCAUAGGUGUAUAAUACAAUAGAAAGGUAUUUUUUUUAAAAAUUGUUGAGUGUGAAUAGCUAUCUGCAGACUUUUUUGUGGAGAGAUGGCAAUAUAUUCUUUGCAUACAUAUGAGGUCAACAUUAGUUGUUUAUUUUGUGCACCAUUCACAAAAAACUACAAUAUAAAGCCUGAUUUGUGCUGCUUAACCUAACCAAAAUAAACACCUUUGAUAUUGUUUGUUUGUUAUUGUAGUGGUUUAAUGACUGUCACGUUUGUGAGAAUGCAGGCGGUUGUGACUGGGACUAGCCACUGGCUGCAACAUUGAAAGAGUUAUUUCAGGUCAAGGCUACUAAGUACUGCCUCCACUCGACAAACAGAACGGCCUGGGGUGGGCGGUCAAAGACAGGGAAUGAUAGCAUGCAGCUUAUU
RNAcentral lists this long non-coding RNA (1601 nucleotides) under Pomacea canaliculata. RNAcentral's name for it is "uncharacterized LOC112565606, transcript variant X2". Lineage: Eukaryota; Metazoa; Mollusca; Gastropoda; Architaenioglossa; Ampullariidae. The record is from RNAcentral.